RNAcentral lists this ribosomal RNA (384 nucleotides) under uncultured bacterium. RNAcentral's name for it is "bacterial SSU rRNA". It matches the Rfam family "Bacterial small subunit ribosomal RNA", at positions 30 to 416 of the family's 1533-position model. The record is from RNAcentral.
AUUGAACGCUGGCGGAAUGCUUUACACAUGCAAGUCGAACGGCAGCACGGGGCAACCUGGUGGCGAGUGGCGAACGGGUGAGUAAUACAUCGGAACGUGCCCAAUCGUGGGGGAAAACGUAGCGAAAGUUACGCUAAUACCGCAUACGAUCUACGGAUGAAAGCGGGGGAUCGCAAGACCUCGCGCGAAUGGAGCGGCCGAUGUCAGAUUAGGUAGUUGGUGGGGUAAAGGCUCACCAAGCCAACGAUCUGUAGCUGGUCUGAGAGGACGACCAGCCACACUGGAUCUGAGACACGGUCCAGACUCCUACGGGAGGCAGCAGUGGGGAAUUUUGGACAAUGGGCGCAAGCCUGAUCCAGCCAUUCCGCGUGCAGGAUGAAGGCC